CCCUUAGAUGUUCUGGGCUGCACGCGCGCUACACUGAUGCGCUCAACGAGUUUUCGACCUUGCCCGAGAGGGUUGGGUAAUCUUGUUAAAACGCAUCGUGAUGGGGAUAGAUUAUUGUAAUUAUUAAUCUUCAACGAGGAAUGCCUAGUAAGCGCAAGUCAUCAGCUUGCGUUGAUUACGUCCCUGCCCUUUGUACACACCGCCCGUCGCUCCUACCGAUUGAAUGGUCCGGUGAAGCGUUCGGACCGUGGCCUUUGGACGGUUCGCCGUCUGUUGGCUGCGGGAAGUUCGUUAAACCUUAUCAUUUAGAGGAAGGAGAANUCGUANCA
This 329-nucleotide ribosomal RNA is filed under the name uncultured eukaryote. RNAcentral's name for it is "partial 18S ribosomal RNA". It matches the Rfam family "Eukaryotic small subunit ribosomal RNA", at positions 1470 to 1796 of the family's 1831-position model. The record is from RNAcentral.